Carassius auratus (goldfish) is the source of this 1561-nucleotide long non-coding RNA. RefSeq lists it as uncharacterized. The transcript is spliced from 3 exons. The record is from RefSeq and is a predicted model, not a curated record. Lineage: Eukaryota; Metazoa; Chordata; Actinopteri; Cypriniformes; Cyprinidae.
AGACUAAACUGCUUCCAUAGUAAACAGCCUUGUCCUUAGUUUUGUGAACUGUUCAAAGCGUGUCAUUUAAGAGUUUUUGGUUUUGACUGUGUCAGUGUUUGCUCAAGGUUAGUAGCUGGCACUCUCUGUUAAGCUUUUAAUAAAUGAUUAAAGAUAUUUGGAUAAAACGUGUGGACUUUCUUAACUGGUCAGAAUUGAUGUUUUUUUUUUUUUUUUUUUAAUCAGUUCAUUGAAAGUUCAAAUUGACCUGAUUUACUUCAAUGGUUCAGUGUGCACCACCUACGCUACUGCAGGGGAUUUAUAUAAAAAUUUCCUAUAUGUUAGCCAUUUUUACAUUCAAAUUAAAAGGGGAGAGGCUAUUGCUUAAGUUUAUUUUUGUUUACCACAAUUUGUCAUGUACAUUUAUUUAUUUAGUAGUAGUUGUAGGCCAUAGUGCAACUCUUGACACUCAUGGGAAGUUAAAGGCAGGGAUAAGUUCAUGCGUGAACGCGUGCGUUUUGGGGGAAAAUGAGGGCGUUGAGAUUCUUGAGCGCGUUUCACUCUCUUUGGUGAGUGGAACAGGUAGAGCGAGCUGACGCGCUUCCGGUCGCAGGUGAGAGAGAAGCCGUCAUGAACGCGCGCGUCAAAUAAAACUGCUCUGCGCUUGGACGCGGAGGUCUUGAUCGUUUGGGAUUCAAAAUAACAACAGCAGCGGGUCCUCUGCGGUUAUCACAGCAGUUUCUCAGGUUAAAGUUACCUUCCAAAAUGUAAAAGGAUGACCACUGUGUAGUCACUAAUUACCAGCAUCAUGAGUUCAUUGAGCGCAUUGGGCCUGUGCAUGCCAGUGUUGUUCUUUCUGGCUCUGGUCCUGGUUCUGUUCUCGUGCGUCCUCCGUAAGAAGCGGAAGAUGGAGGGAUCAUACCAGCCCAGCUCGGAAGAGCGGAAACAAGCCAAGAACAAUGGAGCCGAGAGACCCGGUCUCACUCUUCCACUGCCCAAAGAGGAGAGACUGAUCUGAAUGCAGCCCUCAGAAAAGAUGCUGUUUAGGUGAACAGAUCUUUCAUUAUGACUUUGUGUUGAUACGCACAGGUGCAGUCCUGACAAACAAGUGGAGGGUCAUGCAUGGAGAACGAUUAAAGUGGUGGUGGGUAUUUAUCUGAUGCUUUUGACUGAGAUGUGAGAAUGCUUUCAUUUGCUGUCACAACUUGGGACAUCUGAAGACACUGCCAAGUGUGUUUAUCAAAAGUAAAGAAGCCAGAUGAUUUAGAUGGACGGCAAAAAACAUUUGGACUUUGUUUACUUUAUCCGUACUUUUAAGUUUACUGACUUGAGAGUCUUUGUGGAGGAGACAUGGCAGCUUCACCUCCAAAAGAGUUUACCAUUAGCAUACUGAAUACUUUAAAUAUCAUACAUUAACAUUAAGUUGCAGUGUUUUCAUAGGUAGAGAGAGAAAUAUAUUGCACUUUGCCAAAUGUUGUUUUGUAUUAGGUUUGCAUUUUUGUAAUGUCUGUAACGUUGAUCAUCAUGUGAUGAAGUGACUGUGUAACUGUGGAUGAUUAAUUAAAAUGCAUCUGUGAGUUAA